GCAAGUCGAACGAGACCCUGGAGCUCGCUCAAGGUGACAGUGGCCGACGGGUGAGUAACGCGUGGCAACAUACCCUUCGGUGGGGGACAACAGUUGGAAACGACUGCUAAUACCCCAUACGUCCUCCGGGAGAAAGAUUCAUCGCCGAUGGAUGGGGCCGCGUUAGAUUAGCUUGUUGGUGGGGUAAUGGCCUACCAAGGCGACGAUCUAUAGCGGGUCUGAGAGGAUGAUC
RNAcentral lists this ribosomal RNA (232 nucleotides) under uncultured bacterium. RNAcentral's name for it is "partial 16S ribosomal RNA". It matches the Rfam family "Bacterial small subunit ribosomal RNA", at positions 57 to 305 of the family's 1533-position model. The record is from RNAcentral.